RNAcentral lists this ribosomal RNA (441 nucleotides) under uncultured bacterium. RNAcentral describes it as "partial 16S ribosomal RNA". It matches the Rfam family "Bacterial small subunit ribosomal RNA", at positions 338 to 795 of the family's 1533-position model. The record is from RNAcentral.
CCUACGGGAGGCAGCAGUCGGGAAUAUUGCGCAAUGGAGGAAACUCUGACGCAGUGACGCCGCGUGCGGGAAGAAGGGUUUCGGAUUGUAAACUGCUUUAGGCAGGGAAGAAACAAGACAUUACCGGUAAAGUAAGCUCCGGCUACCUACGUGCCAGCAGCCGCGGUAAUACGUAGGGAGCAAGCGUUAUCCGGAUUUAUUGGGGGUAAGGGGUGCGUAGACGGUAAGUCAAGUUGGUAGUGAAAUCCCUCGGCUUAACUGAGGAACUGCAACCAAAACUAACUGUCUUGAGUGCUGGAGAGGAAAGUGGAAUUCCUAGUGUAGCGGUGAAAUGCGUAGAUAUUAGGAGGAACACCAGUGGCGAAGGCGACUUUCUGGACAGUAACUGACGUUGAGGCACGAAGGUGUGGGGAGCAAACAGGAUUAGAUACCCUUGUAGUC